AGUGGCGAACGGGUGAGUAACACGUGGGUAACCUGCCCAUCAGAAGGGGAUAACACUUGGAAACAGGUGCUAAUACCGUAUAACAAUCGAAACCGCAUGGUUUCGUUUUGAAAGGCGCUUUACGGUGCCGCUGAUGGAUGGACCCGCGGUGCAUUAGCUAGUUGGUGAGGUAACGGCUCACCAAGGCCACGAUGCAUAGCCGACCUGAGAGGGUGAUCGGCCACAUUGGGACUGAGACACGGCCCAAACUCCUACGGGAGGCAGCAGUAGGGAAUCUUCGGCAAUGGACGAAAGUCUGACCGAGCAACGCCGCGUGAGUGAAGAAGGUUUUCGGAUCGUAAAACUCUGUUGUUAGAGAAGAACAAGGGUGAGAGUAACUGUUCACCCCUUGACGGUAUCUAACCAGAAAGCCACGGCUAACUACGUGCCAGCAGCCGCGGUAAUACGUAGGUGGCAAGCGUUGUCCGGAUUUAUUGGGCGUAAAGCGAGCGCAGGCGGUUUCUUAAGUCUGAUGUGAAAGCCCCCGGCUCAACCGGGGAGGGUCAUUGGAAACUGGGAGACUUGAGUGCAGAAGAGGAGAGUGGAAUUCCAUGUGUAGCGGUGAAAUGCGUAGAUAUAUGGAGGAACACCAGUGGCGAAGGCGGCUCUCUGGUCUGUAACUGACGCUGAGGCUCGAAAGCGUGGGGAGCAAACA
Molecule: ribosomal RNA, 694 nt
Filed under: Enterococcus sp.
Lineage: Bacteria; Bacillati; Bacillota; Bacilli; Lactobacillales; Enterococcaceae
Description: bacterial SSU rRNA
Rfam family: Bacterial small subunit ribosomal RNA
Source: RNAcentral